AUCGCUUCUUGGCCUUUUGGCUAAGAUCAAGUAUAGUAUCUGUUCUUAUCAGUUUAAUAUCUGAUACAUCCUCUAUCCAAGGACAAUAUAUUAAAUGGGUUUUUGGAAUUAGGAGGUGGAAUAGGAGCUUGCUCCAUCCACUCUACGCAUCAACCUGGUAUUGCAGUACUUCUAGGAACAGUGCACACCUU
Small nuclear RNA from Equus asinus (donkey), 191 nucleotides. Its record names the gene U2. It matches the Rfam family "U2 spliceosomal RNA". Rfam says of the family: U2 is a small nuclear RNA (snRNA) component of the spliceosome (involved in pre-mRNA splicing). Complementary binding between U2 snRNA (in an area lying towards the 5' end but 3' to hairpin I) and the branchpoint sequence (BPS) of the intron results the bulging out of an unpaired adenosine, on the BPS, which initiates a nucleophilic attack at the intronic 5' splice site, thus starting the first of two transesterification reactions that mediate splicing. The record is from Ensembl. Lineage: Eukaryota; Metazoa; Chordata; Mammalia; Perissodactyla; Equidae.